Molecule: long non-coding RNA, 597 nt
Organism: Lolium rigidum
Lineage: Eukaryota; Viridiplantae; Streptophyta; Magnoliopsida; Poales; Poaceae
Exons: 3
Source: RefSeq, a predicted model, not a curated record
CAAGAGCAUACUACGUUGCGAGCAAUACCAACUCAGAGUGCCCUGAGGAGGUCGAGGCGUUGUCGCAAACUCAGAGAGCAUAACCUUACGCUGUCGUGUGUGGUGUUGCGGUGGAUGGACUCCGUUGCGCGCCGUGGGUUGCUUUGGCUAUUGGGGAUGCGAGGCAGCAGCAUCAACAAGAGGCAAGUGGAGUUAGACGUGGCUUGGAGGUGGAUAAGGAACCUUGGAGGAGUAGCUUUGAGUUAUUGCCUGGACACAAUCAGAAAUACUCCCUCCAGUCUCUUUUAAUUGACUCGGAUUUAGAACAACUUUGUACUAAAUUUGAGUCAAUUAAAAAUGACCCGAGGGAGUACAUAAGAAGCUGGUAUAGUAAUCGGCUUUUACUUCUUGGUUCUUUUCCACACGAUAAUUAUACAAUCCCUGGUCCUUUCACACUACAUGACAUGAAGGUACCAGCUUAGGUGAGGUCAUCUAGUAAGAAAUGAUGGUAGCAUAUUCAUCGUUAGUCUUGCAUCUUAGCGAACAUCCCAUUCGAAGAAAAAAUCUUUAUAUUUUUCAUACUCUGAAAUAGAUAAGCACAAGUAUUGCAAUUCAAUG